GGGCCCGCACAAGCGGUGGAUUAUGUGGUUUAAUUCGAUGAUACGCGAGGAACCUUACCAAGACUUAAAUGGGAAUUGACAGUUUUAGAAAUAGAACUUUCUUCGGACAAUUUUCAAGGUGCUGCAUGGUUGUCGUCAGCUCGUGCCGUGAGGUGUUAGGUUAAGUCCUGCAACGAGCGCAACCCCUGUCACUAGUUGCCAUCAUUCAGUUGGGGACUCUAGUGAGACUGCCUACGCAAGUAGAGAGGAAGGUGGGGAUGACGUCAAAUCAUCACGGCCCUUACGUCUUGGGCCACACACGUAAUACAAUGGCCGGUACAGAGGGCAGCUACACAGCGAUGUGAUGCAAAUCUCGAAAGCCGGUCUCAGUUCGGAUUGGAGUCUGCAACUCGACUCUAUGAAGCUGGAAUCGCUAGUAA
Molecule: ribosomal RNA, 419 nt
Filed under: uncultured bacterium
Lineage: Bacteria
Description: bacterial SSU rRNA
Rfam family: Bacterial small subunit ribosomal RNA
Source: RNAcentral